RNAcentral lists this ribosomal RNA (166 nucleotides) under Borreliella spielmanii. Its description in RNAcentral is "partial 16S ribosomal RNA". It matches the Rfam family "Bacterial small subunit ribosomal RNA", at positions 121 to 286 of the family's 1533-position model. Lineage: Bacteria; Pseudomonadati; Spirochaetota; Spirochaetia; Spirochaetales; Borreliaceae. The record is from RNAcentral.
AUGAUCUACCUAUGAGAUGGGGAUAACUACUAGAAAUAGUAGCUAAUACCGAAUAAGGUCAAUUAAUUUGUUAAUUGAUGAAAGGAAGCCUUUAAAGCUUCGCUUGUAGAUGAGUCUGCGUCUUAUUAGUUAGUUGGUGGGGUAAUCUUAUUAGUUGGUGGGGUAA